UACGUAGGGCGCAAGCGUUGUCCGGAAUUAUUGGGCGUAAAGAGCUCGUAGGCGGCCUGUUGCGUCCGCUGUGAAAUCCCGGGGCUCAACCCCGGGCGUGCAGUGGAUACGGGCUGGCUGGAGGCAGGCAGGGGAGAACGGAAUUCCUGGUGUAGCGGUGAAAUGCGCAGAUAUCGGGAGGAACACCGGUGGCGAAGGCGGUUCUCUGGGCCUUACCUGACGCUGAGGAGCGAAAGCGUGGGGAGCGAACAGG
This 253-nucleotide ribosomal RNA is filed under the name uncultured bacterium. RNAcentral describes it as "partial 16S ribosomal RNA". It matches the Rfam family "Bacterial small subunit ribosomal RNA", at positions 524 to 776 of the family's 1533-position model. The record is from RNAcentral.